AGACCUGAGCUGCAUGGACAGGAACAGUGGCCUAUCAUCGCUCCCUAGUGUCUGUGCUAUUGAAGACGCUUGUCCUGAAGAUGGGGGACCACCUGAAGAGGUGCCCAGGGAACAGACUCCCCUUAAAACUUGACAAGGAUAUUUCCUGGGACCUAGGGAGCACAGACCAAGUGGGGCUAGCGUUCUCACAGUAGGACAUCGAGGUGUCUGGGAAAGAGACUUUGGCAGGCCCAGCCUUAUUAGAGCUCUGGAGAUUCAAACUCAGGUCCUCAUGCUUGGGUGGCACGUGCCUCAUCUGCU
This 300-nucleotide long non-coding RNA is filed under the name Mus pahari (shrew mouse). RNAcentral's name for it is "lncRNA (MGP_PahariEiJ_G0003889.1)". Lineage: Eukaryota; Metazoa; Chordata; Mammalia; Rodentia; Muridae. The record is from RNAcentral.